UUUUGAAAGGGUUUGAAACGGAAGAGUGGUGAAGUGUGACGCCAACGUUAGACAAUUAACUGACAAUUAACAGCUGGUCAUCGCGCAGAAAGAGAGAGCGCUCAGGUUGGAGUAAAGCUAAUAAAGCUAACAUGUUCCAAACACCUGGUGAUAUCAGAUUAGGGUGUAGACAGUCAGUUGGUUGGCGCUUGGUUGAUGGGGAACAAGGUCUGUGCAGAAGAAAGUUCAAGUGAGGAGACGUCAUCAGAAGAGGAAUAUGUUCCUGAUUUGUAGAGGAUUCAAACCUCUCAUGGGACGACAAAUCAGCCUUUCAAAAUCAGACACAAACAACUACAGAAUUGUGAGGUCUCCACCAGCAAGUCUACUUCCAAAAAGAAAAGACACAACCACGAAGAAGAUGUUCAACGUCUUCACAGACAUCUGGAAAAGACUGCAGAACAAGAACUGAAGGACUUGGAAGACCAUAGUUCACCAAAAUUAUAUAGUGAACUGUGUGAAAUGCUAUUUGUAGACAACCUACAGUUGACUGAUUCAGAUGCUGAGAGUGAGGUCGAUGAUGAAGAAGAGGUUGAUGCUGACCAUGAGGUUGAUGAGGGAAACUUCACAGAUCUACAGACUGAUUCUGCAGGACUGUUAACUAGGCAACCUGUAGAGGAACCUCUAGGCACGUCUGCAUCAUUCUCACAAGCAUCUCUGGAAAGUACUAGGAGAGCAAAAAAGCAUCCAUGGUCUCCCAUAGAGGUUGCUGCGGUCAUGAGGCACUUUGGAGAACACAUCAAAACAGGACAACUGGCCACAAUGAUAGAAUGCCAGCAAUGCAAAAAGGCUGAGGAUCCUGCUCUUGCUCGUCGAUCUAUCCAAAACAUAAGAGAUUUUGUGAGAAAUCGAGGUGUAACUUUGAAAAGAAAAGAAAAUCCUGCAUGGUUUAUGCGUCGUUUAUGCGUCCAUCAGUGAUAUCGGCAGCACACUUGGGACAAUGAGAACCAGACCACAGGUAACCUUUGUUCUGAUAUCACUAAUGGUUAAGCAUUUCAUCCUGUGAAGGCAGGACAAGGGUUGAUAUAGUUUGAGUUAUAAUGGCAAGUUGCUUGUUAAACCGAAUACAUAAACAUAUUGAUGUUUUUGAAUCAUUGUUUGGUAUAGAGCUGUUACUGUACUUUCAAAAAUAUUCAAAUGUAUUUCUACUAAUACGAUGAAUAUGUUAAUCUUGUUCACACAAUUUAAUCUCUGAUUUAACAAUUGUCAUAUGUUUAAUUUACUUUUGCCAUUCACAUAUUUUCCUUUAUGUUCACAAGUAGAAUUGUUGCUCCAGUUCUUGGUGAAAGUGCUGUGAAAUUUUCAGUGGAGUUAUAUUUCACAUUUCCAUGUUUGGGCUUAUUUACUUACAUUUCAUGUUUGUGUAUGGCAUGGUCCUGAUGAAUAAAGUUCGGCCCUGAC
Molecule: RNA transcript, 1437 nt
Organism: Poeciliopsis prolifica (blackstripe livebearer)
Lineage: Eukaryota; Metazoa; Chordata; Actinopteri; Cyprinodontiformes; Poeciliidae
Exons: 5
Source: RefSeq, a predicted model, not a curated record